Molecule: long non-coding RNA, 1307 nt
Organism: Oncorhynchus tshawytscha (Chinook salmon)
Lineage: Eukaryota; Metazoa; Chordata; Actinopteri; Salmoniformes; Salmonidae
Source: Ensembl
UAGCUGCUCAGAUAGCAGAUGUGGUGUUGGCUUUAGGGAUGAUCAGUGAGAUACACCUGCUGGAGCGAGUGCUACGGGUGGGUGUUGCCAUCGUGACCAGUGAACUGAGAUAAGGCGGAGCUUUAUCUAGCAUGGACUUGUAGAUGACCUGGAGCCAGUGGGUCUGGCGACGAAUAUGUAGCGAGGGCCAGCCGACUAGAGCAUACAGGUCGCAGUGGUGGGUGGUAUAAGGUAAUUUAGUGACAAAACGGAUGGCACUGUGAUAAACUGCAUCCAGUUUGCUGAGUAGAGUGUUGGAAGCAAUUUUGUAGAUGACAUCGCCGAAGUCGAGGAUCGGUAGGAUAGUCAGUUUUACUAGGUUGCCUUAUUGUACUGCCAGCGCCCCCUACAGGCUUCCUAACUCAGCGCUCACUGUCAAACCUUGCUGUCACCAUGCUAUUCUGUGGGAUCACAGCUCACCGCAUCAGCAAGACCAUCAUCUUUUACCUGAACGAGACGGCAUCAACUAAACCUUCACCUGGGCCUCCCAUUGGGCCUCCCCUUGGCCCUCUGUCUGCCCUGAACGAUGCAGCAUGUACCCCCACCAGCCCUUACCCCAGGCCCAACCAAGCCCCUGCUGCUAAUGCUUCCCUGGUUGGGGUCGCGACCCCAGGCUGUGGCCAAGUACUUUGAGAUCUACUUCCGUACAGGCUUUGACGUGCUCAUAGUGGAGAGCGAGGAGGAUACACCUUCACCCAGUUGCUGGUACACAUAUCCCACGACACACAGAAGUACCACAGCUUCAUUAAGAGGAUCAAAGGCCACAUCUAUGACAGCCUAGUGCUGGGCUCACCGGAGAGGAUGGCUACCGGUGAGUCUUGGGGUCAGGGAUUAGAGGUUAAAGGUUAUAUACCGUCAGGUGUAACACAUGUAUGACAGCCUAGUACUGUCUAGUACAGCCUGGUUAGGCUCUAACCAAUAGUGCAAAAAAGGUGUUAGGUAAGUAAGGAAAUAAAACAACAGUAAAAAGACAGGCUAUAUACAGUAGCGAGGCUAUAAAAGUAGCGAGGCUACAUACAGACACCGGUUAGUCAGGCUGAUUGAGGUAGUAUGUACAUGUAGAUAUGGUUAAAGUGACUAUGCAUAUACGAUGAACAGAGAGUAGCAGUAGCCUAAAAGAGGGGUUGGCGGGUGUUGGGUAGCGGCAAACAAUGCAGAUAGCCCGGUUAGCCAAUGUGCGGGAGCACUGGUCGGUCGGCCCAAUUGAGAUAGUAUGUACAUCAAUGUAUCGUUAAAGUGACUAUGCAUAUAUGAUAAACAGAGAAUAG